AGGACGAACGCUGGCGGCGUGCUUAACACAUGCAAGUCGAGCGGAAAGGCCCUUCGGGGUACUCGAGCGGCGAACGGGUGAGUAACACGUGAGUAAUCUGCCCAUCGCUUCAGGAUAGCCAUCGGAAACGGUGAUUAAUACUGGAUAUGACAUUCCUUCGCAUGUUGGGGUGUGGAAAGUUUUUUCGGCGGUGGAUGUGCUCGCGGCCUAUCAGCUUGUUGGUGGGGUAAUGGCCUACCAAGGCUUUGACGGGUAGCCGGCCUGAGAGGGUGACCGGCCACACUGGGACUGAGACACGGCCCAGACUCCUACGGGAGGCAGCAGUGGGAAUAUGGACAAUGGGCGAAGCCUGAUCCAGCAACGCCGCGUGAGGAUGACGGCCUUCGGGUGUAACCGUCUUCAGCACAGACGAAGUUUGUCGUUUUUUGGUGUAAGUGACGGUAUGUGCAGAAGAAGGACCGCCAACGUACGUGCCAGCAGCCGC
RNAcentral lists this ribosomal RNA (484 nucleotides) under uncultured soil bacterium. RNAcentral's name for it is "bacterial SSU rRNA". It matches the Rfam family "Bacterial small subunit ribosomal RNA", at positions 26 to 518 of the family's 1533-position model. The record is from RNAcentral.